This 318-nucleotide ribosomal RNA is filed under the name Phycisphaerales bacterium. RNAcentral's name for it is "bacterial SSU rRNA". It matches the Rfam family "Bacterial small subunit ribosomal RNA", at positions 1 to 334 of the family's 1533-position model. The record is from RNAcentral. Lineage: Bacteria; Pseudomonadati; Planctomycetota; Phycisphaerae; Phycisphaerales.
AAUUGAAGAGUUUGAUCCUGGCUCAGAUUGAACGCUGGCGGCAUGGCUAAAACAUGCAAGUCGAACGAUGAAAGCACCUUCGGGUGUGCAUGAAGUGGCGAAAGGGCGAGGAAUACGUUCCUACGUACCCCAAGGUCAGGGAUAGCCCCGGGAAACUGGGAGUAAUACCUGAUGACAUCUCCGGAUCAAAGGCUUCGGCCACCUUGGGAGCGGGGAACGCCCUAUCAGGUUGUUGGUGAGGUAACGGCUCACCAAGCCAAAGACGGGUAGCGGGUGUGAGAGCAUGACCCGCCGCAUCGGGACUGAGACACUGCCCGG